Molecule: long non-coding RNA, 514 nt
Organism: Xenia sp. Carnegie-2017
Lineage: Eukaryota; Metazoa; Cnidaria; Anthozoa; Malacalcyonacea; Xeniidae
Exons: 2
Source: RefSeq, a predicted model, not a curated record
ACUAUGAGCUAUGAACGCCAUUAAAAGCCGGUUUUGAAAAAAAAAUUAAACAACGAUGUUUGCCACAGAUUCUAAAAACGAUUUAAAAGCUUUUAAACAAAAAGGAUGAGGAAACACUUAAAAAGCGGCGAGGCUGGCUUUCAACAUAUUUACAACACAUUUAAACAAGACAAACUUGAAUAAACCGCCGGACAAAAACAAAUUAACGAAGAUUUGCUUGGUCAUGUCAUGAUGUUGUUUGAUCUUGCCAAUCAAGCCUUGGACCUACGCGUGCGCAAAUGUGAUGUAAAAAUUACGGAUCGCGCUUGAAAUGGGACCGAAGUCUAUUCAUGGCAACUAAAGGGUGCAUCGAAUUCUCGAUUCACCUAGUUAUUUUUGAAGCUAACCUUGCCCUUCAGAUCACGAAACAAAAUACACUAAUUAAUCUGUAAAUAAAAUAGAUUAGACAACUACGAUAAAUUACUGUAAAAAAAUUUUUUUCCGAAAUAAAAUCUAGAUCCUCACAGUAAAAAAA